Molecule: long non-coding RNA, 589 nt
Filed under: Gallus gallus (chicken)
Lineage: Eukaryota; Metazoa; Chordata; Aves; Galliformes; Phasianidae
Description: long non-coding RNA NONGGAT004894
Source: RNAcentral
CCGGAAUAACCCCCUUUUCCACUUAACCCCUCAAAGAUAGGAGCGGCAGAUACCCCCAUGUAUUUUAGUUCAAAUGGCCAACACUUGAGGUAUCUCUUGGCUUGACUGAAAGGUGUUUCCCAAAAGGUCUUUCCUCCCACAACUCAGUGAGAAGGGAAUCUGUUUUGUAUUUCUCAAUUAAUGGAUGGCUGGGUAUGCCCAGGGUGCUAACUGUAAAACCUGCCCGUUCCAUCCAAUGCCAUUGGUAACACAGCUCUCCCAAAGGGCUGCCAUAUGUGGCUGUGAUACAUCAAGCUGUUUCCCCACUUAACAGAAAUAUUGCCACUGGAUUAGCAGACCAUAAAAUUGUGUCAAUUGCUGGCUGCGAUUCCCCCAACAAGACAACUGAUGUUUCUACUUCUGUUAUGUAGGUCAGAUCUGCUCCAGAGCCAUAACCUUCUGCUUGAGUGCCUCGCUGUGUCUCACCCAGAGCCAGGCCUUCAAAACUGUCACUGUGAAACGAGCACUUCUUGCUUAGUAAAGAGAAACCCUGAUAUGUGGAACAGCGUCAUUCAGAGGCAAGCAGCUGAGGGGUGCCAUUCCAGAGAAG